CUAGAGAUGCAUGAAUAAAAGAACCACCCAAAGACUCCUACUCAGAUACUUUUAGGCGAGGUCGAUCUCGUCGUCAAUCCUGCAGGAUAGAGCAACAAAAUCAAUGCAAAACAUAUAUAAGCAAAGACUGACUACAACACAACCAAACAAUCCAAAAAUAUGUGACGAACAAUAACAUAUAAAUCUGAAUCAUAAUAAUUUGACGAAAUAAACAGUAAGAUCUUUGUACCAAUAAAGAAAUGUAAACACUUAUCAUGAAGAGAAAGGGAUUUUGUAUUUACAGUUUUGUUCCGUUAGAUGUCUGGUGAUAACAGUCAUUUCCCCAUAUCCCAAUAUAAACCCUUCUCUCGUCGCACUCACAGAAUUUAAAACAAAUAGAAUCCCUAAUAUCUUCUUCCACCAAACAAAGCACCGAUCAAAUGAAAUACCAAAAAUUGACAAUCAAAAAUGGACAAAAAAAUCAAAACCCACCAACAUAUCUAGAAAUCAAAAGCAGCCCAAAAAAUUUAUAAUUUGUUCAUUGAACAAUGAAAUCAAAAAGAAAAAAGUAUGCGUGAAGAUAGAUCGGAAUGAAGAUGAACAGAGUUUUGAAGACCCCCACCUUGUAUUAUUGAGAGAAAGCUUAAUGAGAGAUAAAAAUUAAUUGGGUGAAAAUGAAGACUCACGUAAUGUAUCAUGAUAGAGAAAGGUUUACAAAGAGAAUGGAAUUGAGAAUAGAGGCUUCCCCCUUACAUCUGCUUCUGACUUCAACCUCUUUGUUGAACCUUUUGGCUUUCUUGAAUUGCCCUAUGUUGGUGGCACCGCCACUCGGACAAACGUUGUUGGUCGAGUUUUUACUGCAAAUGAGUCCCCUCCUGAACAGAAAUUUCGAGGUUCAAUUAGGUUUUGGUUCGGUGAUGGAAGAGCACGAAUUUGGGGAUCUUCAAGGAAUGCUUUUUAUGUGUAAAAGCUUAAAAGAAGAGAAGAGGAUAAGAGGAAGAAGAGGGAAAAUCCAUCGACGAAAAGAAGAGGAAGAGGAAGAGGAAAUGAAAACCCCACCGUCAAUUAGGGAAAGAGUUAAUUAAUUGAUGGAAGAAGAAGUGUCGAUCAAUUGCAGAACCAAUUUCGUUUACAGGAAACCAAUUUGUUGACUCGAUUCUAAAUUCUCAUGAGAUUGGAGAAAUCAACCGAUUUAAC
RNAcentral lists this long non-coding RNA (1176 nucleotides) under Panax ginseng (ginseng). Its description in RNAcentral is "long non-coding RNA (PGIN_LNC011561)". The record is from RNAcentral. Lineage: Eukaryota; Viridiplantae; Streptophyta; Magnoliopsida; Apiales; Araliaceae.